This 452-nucleotide ribosomal RNA is filed under the name uncultured Sphingobacteriales bacterium. RNAcentral's name for it is "bacterial SSU rRNA". It matches the Rfam family "Bacterial small subunit ribosomal RNA", at positions 923 to 1382 of the family's 1533-position model. Lineage: Bacteria; Pseudomonadati; Bacteroidota; Sphingobacteriia; Sphingobacteriales. The record is from RNAcentral.
GCACAAGCGGAGGAACAUGUGGUUUAUCGAUGAUACGCGAGGACCUUACUGGGCUUAAAUGGGGAGUGACAGCUGUCGAAAGAUGGUUUUCUUCGGACACUCUUCAAGGUGCUGCAUGGUUGUCGUCAGCUCGUGCCGUGAGGUGUCGGGUUAAGUCCCAUAACGAGCGCAACCCUUAUCGUUAGUUGCCAUCUGGUAAUGCAGGGGACUCUAGCGAAACUGCCACCGUAAGGUGAGAGGAAGGUGGGAUGACGUCAAAUCAGCACGGCCCUUAUGUCCAGGGCUACACACGUGUUACAAUGGUCGGUACAGAGGGCAGCUACCUGGUGACAGGAUGCUAAUCUCUAAAGCUGGUCUCAGUUCGGAUCGAAGUCUGCAACCCGACUUCGUGAAGCUGGAUUCGCUAGUAAUCGCGCAUCAGCCAUGGCGCGGUGAAUACGUUCCCGGGCCUU